RNAcentral lists this long non-coding RNA (1232 nucleotides) under Anolis carolinensis (green anole). Its description in RNAcentral is "lncRNA (ENSACAG00000043838.1)". Lineage: Eukaryota; Metazoa; Chordata; Lepidosauria; Squamata; Anolidae. The record is from RNAcentral.
UUAACCGGGGGGGGGGGGGCUGCUGGACUGGUACAGGAGUACACACUCACAAGCCAGAAGGUAGGGCUGGGAAUAGCAGAGACUGAGAGUCAAAGAGGUGAACUAGACGAAGAAAGGGCUUUUUUGGGAGGGGAGGACUUAGGUUGUUGGUGCAGGACAGAGUACAGAAGCCAGAAAGUAGGGCUGGGGAGGGAUCAGAAUUGAAAUUCUCCCUGUGGGGACUCAUAAGAGUCAGGCUAUUUCCUAAACCUAUCCCACUCUCAGUCAAAUUAAAGCAAAUAAAGGUUAAUUUUUUUUAAAACAAACACACAAAAAAGCCCUUUUUAAGCUUACCCCCCAAACACACGCCCACUCACUCCUCCCUCCACCUUGUGUAACUGUGGAGCAGAACAAACAACUCUGCAUAUGUAUGCUUGCCCACAAUGCCCUGCCUCAUGCACGGAGGAGGACUUGUUUAAAGCCACGGACAAUGCGGUCGCUGUUGCCCACUUUUGGUCUAAAACUAUUUAGCUGCUUGUGAUUUCCUUUAUUUUAUCACUUUUAAACUUAUUUAUUAUGGAAUGCUUUUGACACAAAAUAAAUAAAGAACUCCCUAGCAAAAUAAGUAAAAUAAAAGAACUAUAAAAAUAUAUUAACUAAGAAAAUUUAAUGCAGAAGAAAAGGUUGGAAUUCUCAAAAAGCAAUCCCCUAAGCACUAAGAAGCAGCAACGGCACUGAGAUAGAACACGGAGCUAGCUAGCACACAAUGUCUCUCUCUCAAACGCCAGAAUGCCACAGAAAAAUGGAGGAGCUUGCCCUGGUAUAUACAGACCAGCUUUGCAAAAAGACACGUGAUCCGCUACCUUAUUCUGAUUUGCUCUGGCAAAGCUAAUGGAGAACCCCCCCUCAGCCAGAUACAGCCCAGGAUCAGCUGUCCAACUGCCAGGUCGCUCAUAUCCCGUGAACCCAGUAUCGUAAAAUGGUAUCGUUCAUAGUAAAGGUAAAGGUUUCCCCUGACGUUAAGUCCAGUCGUGUCCGCGACUCUGGGGGUUGGUGCUCAUCUCCAUUUCUAAGCCGAAGAGCCGGCGUUGUCCGUAGACACCUCCAAGGUCAUGUGGCCAGCAUGACUGCAUGGAGCACUGUUACCUUCCCGCCGGAGCAGUACCUAUUGAUCUACUCACAUUUGCAUGUUUUCAAACUGCUAGGUUAGCAGAAGCUGAGGCUAACAGCUGCGCCACAGGGGUGGGAAAAUG